CGGCUUACCAACCCGAUGCAAACUGCGAAUACCGGAGAAUGUUAUCACGGGAGACACACGGCGGGUGCUAACGUCCGUCGUGAAGAGGGAAACAACCCAGACCGCCAGCUAAGGUCCCAAAGUCAUGGUUAAGUGGGAAACGAUGUGGGAAGGCCCAGACAGCCAGGAUGUUGGCUUAGAAGCAGCCAUCAUUUAAAGAAAGCGUAAUAGCUCACUGGUCGAGUCGGCCUGCGCGGAAGAUGUAACGGGGCUAAACCAUGCACCGAAGCUGCGGCAGCGACACUGUGUGUUGUUGGGUAGGGGAGCGUUCUGUAAGCCUGUGAAGGUGUGUCGUGAGGCAUGCUGGAGGUAUCAGAAGUGCGAAUGCUGACAUAAGUAACGAUAAAGCGGGUGAAAAGCCCGCUCGCCGGAAGACCAAGGGUUCCUGUCCAACGUUAAUCGGGGCAGGGUGAGUCGACCCCUAAGGCGAGGCCGAAAGGCGUAGUCGAUGGGAAACGGGUUAAUAUUCCCGUACUUGGUGUUACUGCGAAGGGGGGACGGAGAAGGCUAUGUUGGCCGGGCGACGGUUGUCCCGGUUUAAGCGUGUAGGUGUGUGUUCCAGGUAAAUCCGGUUCACUUUAACACUGAGGCGUGACGACGAGGCACUACGGUGCUGAAGCAACAAAUGCCCUGCUUCCAGGAAAAGCCUCUAAGCAUCAGGUAACAUCAAAUCGUACCCCAAACCGACACAGGUGGUCAGGUAGAGAAUACCAAGGCGCUUGAGAGAACUCGGGUGAAGGAACUAGGCAAAAUGGUGCCGUAACUUCGGGAGAAGGCACGCUGACACGUAGGUGAAGUGAUUUACUCAUGGAGCUGAAGUCAGUCGAAGAUACCAGCUGGCUGCAACUGUUUAUUAAAAACACAGCACUGUGCAAACACGAAAGUGGACGUAUACGGUGUGACGCCUGCCCGGUGCCGGAAGGUUAAUUGAUGGGGUCAGCGCAAGCGAAGCUCCUGAUCGAAGCCCCGGUAAACGGCGGCCGUAACUAUAACGGUCCUAAGGUAGCGAAAUUCCUUGUCGGGUAAGUUCCGACCUGCACGAAUGGCGUAAUGAUGGCCAGGCUGUCUCCACCCGAGACUCAGUGAAAUUGAACUCGCUGUGAAGAUGCAGUGUACCCGCGGCAAGACGGAAAGACCCCGUGAACCUUUACUAUAGCUUGACACUGAACAUUGAGCCUUGAUGUGUAG
RNAcentral lists this ribosomal RNA (1227 nucleotides) under Salmonella enterica subsp. enterica serovar Stanley. RNAcentral's name for it is "partial 23S ribosomal RNA". It matches the Rfam family "Bacterial large subunit ribosomal RNA", at positions 932 to 2141 of the family's 2925-position model. Lineage: Bacteria; Pseudomonadati; Pseudomonadota; Gammaproteobacteria; Enterobacterales; Enterobacteriaceae. The record is from RNAcentral.